GCCUUAGUAGCGGCGAGUGAAGCGGCAAAAGCUCAAAUUUGAAAUCUGGCGCCUUCGGUGUCCGAGUUGUAAUUUGAAGAUUGUAACCUUGGGGUUGGCUCUUGUCUAUGUUUCUUGGAACAGGACGUCACAGAGGGUGAGAAUCCCGUGCGAUGAGAUGCCCAAUUCUAUGUAAGGUGCUUUCGAAGAGUCGAGUUGUUUGGGAAUGCAGCUCUAAGUGGGUGGUAAAUUCCAUCUAAAGCUAAAUAUUGGCGAGAGACCGAUAGCGAACAAGUACAGUGAUGGAAAGAUGAAAAGAACUUUGAAAAGAGAGUGAAAAAGUACGUGAAAUUGUUGAAAGGGAAGGGUUUGAGAUCAGACUCGAUAUUUUGUGAGCCUUGCCUUCGUGGCGGGGUGACCCGCAGCUUAUCGGGCCAGCAUCGGUUUGGGCGGUAGGAUAAUGGCGUAGGAAUGUGACUUUACUUCGGUGAAGUGUUAUAGCCUGCGUUGAUGCUGCCUGCCUAGACCGAGGACUGCGAUUUUAUCAAGGAUGCUGGCAUAAUGAUCCCAAACCGCCCGUCUUG
RNAcentral lists this ribosomal RNA (563 nucleotides) under Meyerozyma guilliermondii. RNAcentral's name for it is "LSU rRNA". It matches the Rfam family "Eukaryotic large subunit ribosomal RNA", at positions 77 to 656 of the family's 3401-position model. The record is from RNAcentral. Lineage: Eukaryota; Fungi; Ascomycota; Pichiomycetes; Serinales; Debaryomycetaceae.